Molecule: ribosomal RNA, 232 nt
Filed under: uncultured bacterium
Lineage: Bacteria
Description: partial 16S ribosomal RNA
Rfam family: Bacterial small subunit ribosomal RNA
Source: RNAcentral
UGAGGAACAUGACCUUCGGCGGGGGAUAGCCGGCCCAACGGCCGGGUAAUACCGCGUACGACCACAUGGGGACAUCCCUGAGUGGUGAAAGCAGCAAUGCGCCGAUGGAGUGCCUCGCGGCCUAUCAGCUAGUUGGUGAGGUAACGGCUCACCAAGGCGACGACGGGUAGCUGGUCUGAGAGGACGACCAGCCACACUGGAACUGAGACACGGUCCAGACUCCGUAGGGAGG